This 3193-nucleotide long non-coding RNA is filed under the name Homo sapiens (human). RNAcentral's name for it is "HSALNT0315586". The record is from RNAcentral. Lineage: Eukaryota; Metazoa; Chordata; Mammalia; Primates; Hominidae.
CAGAAAAAAUGUCUUCCUGAUAUUCCUGGUACCAGGAAGAAAAGAACAUUCUUGUUACCAGAGAUGAGGCGUUGACACUGAGAUGAGUGUGCACAAGGAAUAAAAUUUAAGAAUGACCCUUAAAUUGUAUUAGUUUCACCCAUAUAUUUCCUAGUCAUGUUCCCGUAGUUUACCACCCCUAUGAACCAAAACCCCUUUCCUUUGUCUAGUUUCUUUUCCACAAUUUAUUGCCCUUUGUUUAUAUGGUAUAUAAUCCCUGAGUCCAACUGCUUCUUUGGGAUUUUCAUGUCUUUCUCGUGAAGCUGCCAUACCAUGUCACACUAUUAACAUCAAAUAAAAUGUGUAUGCUUUUCUUCAGUGAAUUCACAGUUUUCAGGUACAGAAACUAAAAGAGUAGAGGAAAAUUUUUUCCUCCCCUACAGUUGCAGUUAUCUAUCAGAAUUUAUAUUGCUUAUUCUUUUACUCACUCUUUUGUUUAAUAUCCUCCCCAUGAAAAUGUAAGCUCAAUGAAAGUAAGAGGAUUAUUUUUCACCACCGUAUCUAUAGGCCCGGCAUAUAGUAAGUAUUCAAUAAAUAGUUGUUAAAUGAUUGAAUCUGCACAGAGGUGAUAUGAUUUAAGCCCCAAGGAGGCUGAGAUAUCUGAGAGAGAGAAUGUCAACAGAAGAGCCCCACUAACUGACCACUAUUGAUAUAAUAAUUUUAGGUCCCAAAUAUAGGCCAAGGUGCCACAUUACAUGAGCAUCUACUAAAUGCAAUUGAUCUUCUAAAUGAAUUGAUCUUCUUGUUUAAAGAAAAGGAAGACAACUGUGAAGGUUUGAAGGAAGGCAAAGUGAACUACCAGAAAAAGGCAUUGUGAAUAGCACACAGCAGGAGUCUAAAAGUAGAACAAAUAUCAAAGAAAUAAAUUCAAAGAAUAAAAUCCUGAUUUUAAAAAGCAGUUUUAACAUAGACUCCUCAGAAAGGAAAGGGGAAGGGGCUGGGGGGCAGAAAUUAGAUAGUAAGGCACAAUAUCUGUUCAGCAGUGGAUUCAAAUGGAAACUUCCACCAAAUAGUAUAUAUGCAUCUGUUUGUUGGGGAGAAGAAUAGUCAAAAGCAUAUUUUAUUACAUACAAAGUAAAAGAAAGCAAGUGUGAAGCAGUGGCAUUGCUAAGUUGACAGUGAUAACAGUCCUCUAGUAAUAGUGGGUUUACCCAGUUCCAUCACAGCCUCUUAUAUAGUCCAUGAUGGCCUCUUCAAGUUUCAUGUGCUACCUGGCAUUUCCCAUGAAAAGCCUACUGUGGUUGAUCUGGUGUGCUGUUACUAUGGUAAGAAAUUAAAAUGAAUAGAUAUUUAUAGUUUAUAUAGUACCACAGUGAUACUUCUCCCCUGCAAUCAAUAGUUUAUUAGCCAGAAGUGUCUAUCAAGUGUUUGUAUAGUGAUAUAUCAAAGCAGAAAACCAACUUUUUAAAAAACAUGAACUUUUGAAAAUGUAACAGAUGUUACUCACACAUGCUUUGAUACAACAGAAGAACUUUUUAAAGUGACCUAUAAAUAUAGAGGCUGUCUUAAAUAAUCAUAAUAUAAUUUUUUACCAUUUAUGUCUCAUAUUUUCCCACUUAUGGCUAAUAUAAGAAAUACAUUUUUGUGAUUCUUUUUGAGAAUUAGUUUUUUAAAAAAUAUCAUAAGAGAAAUUAUAAAUGGAAAAUUAUGCAAACAUAAAUUUGAUGAGAAGUACUCACCUUGUCAAAAUAGGCCUGUGAUUUAAAAAAAAAUGAAUUUGAAGAGAUUUUUAAUUGCAUCAUCUUUCUGUAUAAUCCAUUUCCACAUCAUUUGAUGGCACUGAUGUCAGUUUUUCAUCACUGUAGUGGCUGAGACACAUUAGAAUAAGACAGCCCUGGAUUCGUAUUCCAGCUCUAACAUGUCCUUCCUGGGUGGGUCACUUAAUCUCUCUGAGCUAAGCUUUUUUCAUCUAUAAAAUUGGGGUCAUAGGAUUAUUAUUGUAAAGAUAAAAUGAGAUAAUGUAUAUAAAACAUCUGGCAUAAAGUAAUGUGCAGUGCAGUCACAGUAAUUAUUAAUUAAAUUCAUCAACAAAUAUUCUGUGCCUUUGUUCUAGGUUCUGGGAAUGUGCAUCAGGGCUGCCUGUGGAUUAUAAAGGUUGUACAUGAAGCAAAUCCACAGGCCACUGUUUGCAACAGUGCACCCUGGAGCUAGCAGGGCACAGUCUAGAGGUCAUAUUUAUAGCCCUAACAGUGGAAAGUAGAAUGGGUAAAGUUUAUACUCUAACGAAAAAAAUAACAUUUAUUAUUAUGACUUCACACUAUCAACACCCUAACAUUCAAUAUAAUAAUAAUUAGUGAAUCACACUUUCACUUUUCAUUUCUUUGCUGUACUUCCAUCUUUGUUAGUCAGUUCACUUUUUUGAUUACCCAUUUUUAGAAAAUGUUACAGGGGUUAAUCACUGGUUGACAAGAAGACAACACAGCUGUACACUUUGCUCUCUGGGGGUAAACUGAAUAACAGAUGUGCAGUGACCAAUCACACACUAUUCUGAAGGAAGUGAUGUAAUUGGUCAUGGAUCAUGAUAUGUGUCUGUUAUUUACUUAGUGAUUUGUCAAGAGCUAGGAGCAAACUUUGUACUUUAUAUGAUUACUUACAGUUAAUAUACCAUGGAUUUACCCCUGUAGUUUUCAUUAUAUUAUCUUGUGCUUUAAUUUAUUUUUAACAUGUUGCUUUAUAACACAGUGUUUUUCUUUUUGAGUCAUCUAGUUAUUUUCUUGUUGAGAGAGGAUAUAGUUAUGUGAAAAAAGCUUUGGACUGGGAGUCCUGGCAAAUAAUUUCAGACUUUGGACAGACCAUUUUCAACAUCUGUAAAAUCAAGGGGUUAGGCCUUUCAUUUGCAGACCAGAGGUUGCAAAAUGGCAGGCCACAGAUUGUGUUACUGAGCCAAACUUUGGUUGGCCUGCCCGGUGCAGCAAAGCCAAACGCUGACAUUGAGAUUUGCAGUGAAAGAAAAUAAGGCAUUUAUUGCAGGGUGCCAAGCAGGGAGAAUUGGGAAGCUCAUGAUUAAGACCUGAACUCCCCGAUGGCUUGCAUGUAGGGGUUUUUAAAGGCAGGAAGGCAGAGGUUUUAAGUAAAGUCAUGAAUCAACACAUAAAGGCUAUACUUUGGUUUGACCUAAAAAGGACGGACAUCUCAAAGCAGGGGCCCACUGGUC